This 480-nucleotide ribosomal RNA is filed under the name Triticum aestivum (bread wheat). RNAcentral describes it as "partial small subunit ribosomal RNA". Lineage: Eukaryota; Viridiplantae; Streptophyta; Magnoliopsida; Poales; Poaceae. The record is from RNAcentral.
AUGCUCAUCGCCAUCUGCAUCGUGGGGACGGUGCUGCUCCUCAGGCACCGCCGGCGGAGGAAGAAACAACGGCGGUCCCUCAGCCGGCAGCCGUCCUCCUCCAUAGGCCUGCACACGCACACCGGCAUCUCGGCAUCCAAGGUCUCAGCCGCCAGAAGCCACAGCCGCGCAUCCUCGGGGCCGUCCCUCAGCAUCGGCCAGAUACGGCGGGCGACCGGCGACUUCGACGAGGGCCGGGUGGUCGGCGUCGGCGGGUUCGGCAAGGUGUACAGGGGGGUCCUGGAGAACGGCGCCGCGGUGGCCGUGAAGCGCGGGAAUCCGCGGUCGCAGCAGGGCCUGCUGGAGUUCCGCACGGAGAUCGAGAUGCUGUCCAGGCUCCGGCACCGCCACCUGGUGUCCCUCAUCGGGUACUGCCACGAGGACAACGAGAUGGCGCUGGUCUACGAGUUCAUGGCCGGCGGGCCGCUCCGGAGCCACCUG